CUCCAGCAUUCUGGUGGGCCUCUUUUCCUGGUGGAGAUGUCUAAGAGAGAGGUCAGUGGUACAAACUAUAAUCCUCACAACUGAAGACUCAGGCCUGUGAGUGGAGGAAGAUCUAAGAAGAACUUACCUUUGGAUGAACUAUUUUCAACUAUGGCCUCUUAGGAGACUGUGGUCUCCGCCUGCUCUAAUCCCAGUAAGGAGAACACCUGUCCCCCAGGUGUUGCUAACUGCUCAUUGUCUUUUCCACAGGACCAGGCUGCAGCCAGGGCCCAGGCCACAGAAACCAACUCUGAACAAGUAGCUGGGGUAGAGAAUAGGAAUCAAAGAAAUAACUGAGGAGACGAGGCCAACAGAAAGAUUGAAUGAGGAAAUCUGGGAGGAGCCUAACAAGAAGAACACGUGGAUUUUCUUU
Herpailurus yagouaroundi (jaguarundi) is the source of this 412-nucleotide long non-coding RNA. RefSeq lists it as uncharacterized. The record is from RefSeq and is a predicted model, not a curated record. NCBI's taxonomy places the organism in Eukaryota, Metazoa, Chordata, Mammalia, Carnivora, Felidae. The transcript has 3 exons.